GUGUGUGUGUGUGUGUGUGUGUGUGUGUGUCCCAACCCCGUGUAUGAGGGACACACAUACACAC
Molecule: microRNA precursor, 64 nt
Filed under: Procavia capensis (Cape rock hyrax)
Lineage: Eukaryota; Metazoa; Chordata; Mammalia; Hyracoidea; Procaviidae
Description: miRNA (ENSPCAG00000019422.1)
Source: RNAcentral